AAGUCGUAACAAGGUUUCCGUAGGUGAACCUGCGGAAGGAUCAUUAUUGAAUUUUUGAAGAGGUUGUCGCUGAUCUUUUAGAUAUGUGCACACCUUGUUCCAAAUUUCUACACCUGUGCACCUUUGUAGGCUGAUUUCACAAGAAAUUAGCCUACGUUUUAAUACACCCUUUGCUACUUUUAAAAGAAUGUCAUUAGCUUGUUUGGACAAGCUUAAUAAAUACAA
This 225-nucleotide unclassified non-coding RNA is filed under the name plant metagenome. Its description in RNAcentral is "partial contains small subunit ribosomal RNA and internal transcribed spacer 1". The stretch from base 1 to 46 matches the Rfam family "Eukaryotic small subunit ribosomal RNA", at positions 1786 to 1831 of the family's 1831-position model. The record is from RNAcentral.